This is a long non-coding RNA of Hydra vulgaris (swiftwater hydra), 652 nucleotides long. RefSeq lists it as uncharacterized. Lineage: Eukaryota; Metazoa; Cnidaria; Hydrozoa; Anthoathecata; Hydridae. The record is from RefSeq and is a predicted model, not a curated record.
ACAAUUGCAGCUGCUUAGCUAAAAAAUGUUAAUCGGAAGAAACAAAAGUGGAUGGCGUGGUGCCAGUAGAUGGUAUCGAUAUGAUCUAGUCUCAAUUAAGUUAGUCGCAGUUAAGUGUUUAAAAAAAGUUUGACCAUUUUUUUUUAGACUAAUUUUUUAAUGUAUUGUGCUUGAAGAACGUUGUUUAUUACAUAUUAAAUUUAAAUAUUUAUUUUCAAACGAAAAAUAAAACCUGUAAACAAUUUCUCUCUAAAGUUACAAUUUCUCUCUAAAGUUCAAGUGCCAGUGAAACGAACGAUAGAAAAAAAAGAAGCAUUCAAAAUGUUCGCAAAAUUUUUGGUUUGGAUAUAAAAAACCAAGUGAAAAUGAUACUGGAAAGACUGUUUACCGUUUAACUCCUGUCCCAAUCUAACCUAGUGGGUUUAAAAAAAAGGGAACGCGCUGGAAACAUGAGUGGAUUAAAUAGAUCAGCCCUUUUUGAAUUAAUAGUCGAAGUGGUAACCAGCUAGAAGUCGUAACCUGCUCGUAUGAAAAGAUUUCUCGACGUGAAAUCGUUAGUUUUAUUCCACAACGCCAAGAAACAGAGCUCGCUCAAGAAACAGAAAAGAAAGAGAAAGAUGAAAAAAUACUCUGUUGAACAAUACUAUUGUUU